CUGAUGACUGUAUCUUCGAUUUUCAUGUUCUAUCACAGCCACGCACGGCAAUAACGUCAUUUUGCUUUUACAACACUUUAGUUAAUAUUCGCUUGCACCAUUCACGUAUGUUUAAAACUACUUUUACAAUUUAAUCUUGCAUUUUCUGACGAAUCGUGUUUUACAAUUUUAGUCGCAAACGACUAAUCACGGCGACACACUGAUCUUUAUGAAAUUUCUAAUUAGAGCAUCGUCCUAACUACCUCCAAAUAAUUUAGAAAAAAUAUAAUUGUGUAUAUUUUUCUCGAAACUCAAGAGGAUCUACCGAUUUCUUGAAGUCUGUUUCAUCUUAACGAUAAUAAUAUUCCAGGUGUUAGCUUAGGGCCAACCAACUUGUCCGUUAAAGUUUUGUCUCAAUUUAUUUCAGCUGCAUGGUAUACUUUUGUCGAAUAUUGUCAUAGAAUAUUGCGUACUGUUGUCUAGAGCAUGUUGACACACCGGAGACUUAUACUAACUAUACUAAGCAGUCACUCUCUUGGCGUCUCCAAUAUGUAGUAUUUACCCAUCCCAUAGCUCACGAAAACGCAAGUAAAAGAUACUUUAGGGGUUUCGUGGUCACAGACUACUUGGGUGUAACACACACACAACACUACAUUUUAAUGUUGGGCUACAUCAAUUUUUUCUAUAUAAAAAAUGACAUUCAUGUUUCUUUCUGUUGAAAUAAUAAAGUGAGAGCAAUAAAUGUAAAAUUAAACAGUGAAA
Molecule: long non-coding RNA, 741 nt
Organism: Bombyx mori (domestic silkworm)
Lineage: Eukaryota; Metazoa; Arthropoda; Insecta; Lepidoptera; Bombycidae
Exons: 2
Source: RefSeq, a predicted model, not a curated record